This 1122-nucleotide long non-coding RNA is filed under the name Homo sapiens (human). RNAcentral's name for it is "urothelial cancer associated 1". The stretch from base 575 to 649 matches the Rfam family "Urothelial cancer associated 1 conserved region". Lineage: Eukaryota; Metazoa; Chordata; Mammalia; Primates; Hominidae. The record is from RNAcentral.
GCUGACUCUCUUUUCAGACUCAGCCCACUUGCACCCAAGUGAAUUAACAGCCUUGUUGCUCACACAAAGCCUGUUUAGGUGGUCUUCUAUACGGACAUGCUUGACACUUGGUGCCAAAAUCUGGGCCAGGGGGACUCCUUCGUGAGACCGGCCCCCUGUCCUGGCCCUCAUUCCGUGAAGAGAUCCACCUGCGACCUCGGGUCCUCAGACCAGCCCAAGGAACAUCUCACCAAUUUCAAAUCGGAUCUCCUCGGCUUAGUGGCUGAAGACUGAUGCUGCCCGAUCGCCUCAGAAGCCCCUUGGACCAUCACAGAUGCCGAGCUUCGGGUAACUCUUACGGUGGAGGAUUCCCAGCCAUAUGAAGACACCCUAGCUGGACGAUCAGUCCUUGUCAAAAGUCUGACCCCUCAAACUCUACAGCCUCAAUGGACCAGACCCUACCCGGUCAUUUAUAGCACACCAACUGCCGUCCAUCUGCAGGACCCUCUCCAUUGGGUUCACCAUUCCAGAAUAAAGCCAUGCCCAUCAGACAGCCAGCUUGAUCUCUCCUCUUCCUCCUGGAAGCCACAAGAUUAGGCCGAGAGCCGAUCAGACAAACAACCUACAACCCUUAAGCUCCUGGCAGCGCCCAGCCAAGGCCAUGCUUCCUUGCAACACUCCUUCCAAAUGGCCAUCCCAGCAUGCUUCCAAGCAGGCUUCAUCCGUUCCUCUGGACCCUCAUCUCUUAAGACCUGCCGCCUAUAAAAAGGAUUAUAUCUUGAGACCCUAUCCUCUAAAAUUUUUUCCACACCCAAAACAAAAAAUCUCUGGGUCAAAAGUCUAAAACGCUUAGGCUGGCAACCAUCAGAUCCUUGCCCAUGGUGUCCUCAAGCCUACUCUCAUGAAAUGGACAACAGUACACGCAUAUGGGGCCAGUUCCACAUAUUUGGCAACCAGACCAGCAUCCAGGACAACACAAAACCGCCACUCACACCUAUGGGAAAAGGGUAAUGUAUCAUCGGCUUAGCAACAGGGAAUACUAUUCGUAUGAUGGAAAAUGGGGACAAAAGGCUUUGGUACAUAAAACAUUAUUCCUUCCUUGGCCUAAAAACUCAUCGCCACCUACAUUAAAGCUAAUAUGCC